UAAAAGACAACAUGCUGAUUAUUUGAAUAAAAAACCAAACUAAACUUAUUCUUUAAAUAUGUGAGUACCAGAAUUAAAAUUUGAAAUAACAUGUGAAUAACAAUCAGAUCUCUUCACGAUCCAGAACAUAUGUAACAUGAUAUAAUCCUUCUACACCAAACUCCAAAUUGGAACACAGUUUACUAAUCACAAAACUUAAAGAACAGAACACUUCAGGUACCCAGAGUCUGACAUCAGGCCAAAUCCUCAAGAAUACACACUCAUCUUUGCCAUACUUGAAUAAUCCGAAACCUUUAGUGGCACAUAUAUUUUUUUAAAAAAAGAAAAAUAUAGCAUGUUGAAAGUAAAUAGGAAACACAAGAGAUAACAACCGAUUACAACUUGGAUUCAAUCCAAUUUCCAUUCAAACACAUGCUUGCAAUCAAAUUGUUGUCCACAUUUGAGAUGUUACCUGAAAAUGAAGAAGGAAAACAAAAAAAGUGAAGGAUCAACAAUCAAUAGUAGCAAAACUGAGCUUUGAUCAAUUUACAUUAAGAGUACUGGCAUUUAUAAAAGGAAAUCAAUUACUGCUAUAAUCAAGUUAUUGAAUAAAAUUUUUCUAUAAUCAAGCUAGUGAAUAAAAUUAAAUCUAGUUAAUUUUUUUUACUAAUUAUACUAAUCAAUACUAAAUCUUCAAGUUGGUGCAAAUAUGUGGCACAUACCCAGCUUGCAAACUAAAGUGUGAAGACCUUUUGCUGAGAAUUUCUGUAAGCAUAUUCACUAGCGACUUUUCUAAUGGCACAUGCAGCAAACUCAAGAUACCAACAACAACCUUUACUUUAAUGAAAUGUUGAUCAAUUUCACCCUAUUUUAUUUUAUCACGUUGAACAAGAUUAUAAGCUAUAGCAGACUUCUUGUUGCAGUACAAGGAAGGUUUUCCUGGGUCAAACAAUCUAAAUUCCUCUAUUUAACUUUUGUAGCCAAAGAAGUCCACAAACACCUGGGUCAUUGCUCUAUAUUCUGUUUCUGCGCAGCUACAUUUUGUUUAUUGCUUUUCCAAGUAACUAAGUUCCUUCCCAUGAGUGUACAUUAAAGGGUCAUUCCGGCAGCAUAGCUGGUUUUUGAUCAGCCUCAUCAACAUUCUUGGUAUUAAAUUCUUUUAGUAGACAUAUUACUUUGCAGUGGGAUUUAAGUCCUAUGAUAUCAUCAGAAGCGCCAACAGAUAUGAGGAGUGGUACAAAUGGAUAGAUGGAAACUUCAUGACCACUCAUCAGAAGUUUUUUGUGCCAAAAACUUCAAUCAUUCCUGAAAUGGCAUUCAAUGUGGGGUGGCUGGAGAGCUAAAGAUUGAGAGGUUCAUUAAUUACAAAGGUCAUUUGUUAGUUACAAAUGUUUCUAAACGUACAUAGGAAGGCCUUCUCUAUUCUGACACUAUCAGAAGGUAUAAAUGGUUAUCUAGAGACAUUCAAGAAGCUACGAUUCAGGCAGUAGGAGGCAUCAUACACAUCGAGAGAGUAACCAGCUUAAUUCAAAUUGAUCUUCUUGAAAGAAGUAUGGUUGGAAGCAUAUAUUUGAUAUUCCUACCUUGUUGGAAAUCCGUCGAUGGGCCAGCAACUCUUGGAAACAGGCACAUGGAACUAACAUAUACGAGAUGGGUAAUCAUCUCGAAAAUUUAGAUCUGGUGAGAAGCUCCGGUGAGAACCAGUACGCGAGCUGUUGGAGGGGAGAGGCACACGAAACAGUGGGUGGCUCAAGAAAAGAUAACUCUGACAAGGCACAUGGGUUCUUAAAAAGUGGCAGAGGCACCGAGUAACUCUAAUUUAGAGACCCCACGUGAGACAGGGUUAUCAGCUCCUAUUUCUAAUGGGUGUGAAGUUUUAAAAAUAAAAUCUUUGAAGCCCAGAUAUUUUAG
Molecule: long non-coding RNA, 1890 nt
Filed under: Nicotiana benthamiana
Lineage: Eukaryota; Viridiplantae; Streptophyta; Magnoliopsida; Solanales; Solanaceae
Description: long non-coding RNA (NBEN_LNC034940)
Source: RNAcentral